UACGUAGGGUGCAAGCGUUGUCCGGAAUUAUUGGGCGUAAAGAGCUCGUAGGCGGUUUGUCGCGUCUGCUGGGAAAGUUCGGGGCUCAACCCCGGAACUGCAGUGGGUACGGGCAGACUAGAGUGCGGUAGAGGAGACUGGAAUUCCUGGUGUAGCGGUGGAAUGCGCAGAUAUCAGGAGCAACGCCAGUGGGCAAGGCGGGUAUCUGGGCCGCAACUGACGCUGAGGAGCGAAAGCCUCGGGGGCGAACAGG
Molecule: ribosomal RNA, 253 nt
Filed under: uncultured bacterium
Lineage: Bacteria
Description: partial 16S ribosomal RNA
Rfam family: Bacterial small subunit ribosomal RNA
Source: RNAcentral